AGAGUUUGAUCCUGGCUCAGGAUGAACGCUGGCGGCGUGCCUAACACAUGCAAGUCGAACGAAGCGCCUUUUAAGAUUCUUCGGAUGAUUGAUUGGUGACUGAGUGGCGGACGGGUGAGUAACGCGUGGGUAACCUGCCCUGUACAGGGGGAUAACAGUUGGAAACGGCUGCUAAUACCGCAUAAGCGCACGAGAGGACAUCCUCUUGUGUGAAAAACUCCGGUGGUACAGGAUGGGCCCGCGUCUGAUUAGCUGGUUGGCAGGGUAACGGCCUACCAAGGCGACGAUCAGUAGCCGGUCUGAGAGGAUGAACGGCCACAUUGGAACUGAGACACGGUCCAAACUCCUACGGGAGGCAGCAGUGGGGAAUAUUGCACAAUGGGGGAAACCCUGAUGCAGCAACGCCGCGUGAGUGAAGAAGUAUUUCGGUAUGUAAAGCUCUAUCAGCAGGGAAGAUAAUGACGGUACCUGACUAAGAAGCUCCGGCUAAAUACGUGCCAGCAGCCGCGGUAAUACGUAUGGAGCAAGCGUUAUCCGGAUUUACUGGGUGUAAAGGGUGCGUAGGUGGCAGUGCAAGUCAGAUGUGAAAGGCCGGGGCUCAACCCCGGAGCUGCAUUUGAAACUGCAUAGCUAGAGUACAGGAGAGGCAGGCGGAAUUCCUAGUGUAGCGGUGAAAUGCGUAGAUAUUAGGAGGAACACCAGUGGCGAAGGCGGCCUGCUGGACUGUUACUGACACUGAGGCACGAAAGCGUGGGGAGCAAACAGGAUUAGAUACCCUGGUAGUCCACGCCGUAAACGAUGAAU
RNAcentral lists this ribosomal RNA (804 nucleotides) under uncultured bacterium. RNAcentral's name for it is "bacterial SSU rRNA". It matches the Rfam family "Bacterial small subunit ribosomal RNA", at positions 8 to 814 of the family's 1533-position model. The record is from RNAcentral.